GGGAAUAUAUGCACACGUACGUUUAUACAGUGUGUGCAAGACUUGGCGUUUCAAUCAAUCAUCGUCAAAAUAGCUCGCAGCCACCGUCGCCACAGCCGAUUUAUAGCAACAUCUGACUUCCGCCUUCCGCGGGGUUUCCUUCACCCCCGGUCGCUAAUGCCGAAAUACUGUUCGAUCACGAAUAAUACAACAACUCGGUGAACGCGUAAAUCGCAAAGUGUUA
Cinara cedri is the source of this 223-nucleotide non-coding RNA. The record is from the annotation of a GenBank genome assembly. NCBI's taxonomy places the organism in Eukaryota, Metazoa, Arthropoda, Insecta, Hemiptera, Aphididae.